CAGCCGUAAACUAUGCGCGUUAGGUGUACUGGUGACCACGAGUCACCGGGGUGCCGAAGGGAAACCGUGAAACGUGCCGCCUGGGAAGUACGGUCGCAAGGCUGAAACUUAAAGGAAUUGGCGGGGGGAGCACCACAACGGGUGGAGCCUGCGGUUUAAUUGGACUCAACGCCGGGAAGCUCACCGGAUAGGACAGCAGAAUGAUUGCCGGGCUGAAGACCCUGCAUGACUAGCUGAGGGGUGGUGCAUGGCGUCAGUGACU
This 262-nucleotide ribosomal RNA is filed under the name uncultured archaeon. RNAcentral describes it as "partial 16S ribosomal RNA". It matches the Rfam family "Archaeal small subunit ribosomal RNA", at positions 748 to 1008 of the family's 1478-position model. The record is from RNAcentral.